UGGGCUAACACGUGCUACUGGCUUGGUACAAGAGAUGCGAAUCAGUGAUGUCGGAGCGAAUCUCAUAAAACCGGUCUCAGUUCGGAUUGUACGCUGCACUCGCCUACAUGAAGUUGGAGUUGCUAGUAUCGCGGAUCAGAAUGCCGCGGUGAAUGCGUUCCCGGGUCUUGUACACACCGCCCGUCACACCAUGGAAGUUGACAGUACCCGAUGCCUGGUGAGCUAACCGCUUGGGAGAAACAGUCCAAUGUGACGUUGAGACUGGUGUGAAGUCCUAACCUGUAACCGUAUCGGA
Molecule: ribosomal RNA, 295 nt
Filed under: uncultured Anaerovorax sp.
Lineage: Bacteria; Bacillati; Bacillota; Clostridia; Peptostreptococcales; Anaerovoracaceae
Description: partial 16S ribosomal RNA
Rfam family: Bacterial small subunit ribosomal RNA
Source: RNAcentral